This 492-nucleotide ribosomal RNA is filed under the name uncultured bacterium. RNAcentral's name for it is "partial 16S ribosomal RNA". It matches the Rfam family "Bacterial small subunit ribosomal RNA", at positions 29 to 507 of the family's 1533-position model. The record is from RNAcentral.
AGUGAACGCUGGCGGUAGGCCUAACACAUGCAAGUCGAACGGCAGCACAGUAAGAGCUUGCUCUUACGGGUUGCGAGUGGCGGACGGGUGAGGUAUACAUCGGACUCUACUUUUUCGUGGGGGAUCACGUAGGGAAACUUACGCCAAUACCGCGUACGACCUACGGGUGAGAGCAGGGGAUCUUUGGACCUUGCGCGAUUGAAUGAGCCGCUGUGGGAUUAGCUAGUUGGCGGGGUAAAGGCCCACCCUGGCGGCGAUCCGUAGCUGGUCUGAGAGGAUGAUCAGCCACACUGGAACGGAGACACGGUCCAGAGUCCUACGGGAGGGAGCAGUGGGGAAUAUUGGACAAUGGGCGCAAACCUGAUCCAGCCAGACCGCGUGGGUGAAAGAGGCCUUCGGGUUGUGAAGCCGUUUUGUUGGUAAAGAAAAGCAGCAGGUUAAUACCACGCUGUUCUGACGGUACCCAAAAAAUAAGCACCGGCUAACUUCGUG